Molecule: ribosomal RNA, 65 nt
Filed under: Aspergillus caninus
Lineage: Eukaryota; Fungi; Ascomycota; Eurotiomycetes; Eurotiales; Aspergillaceae
Description: 28S ribosomal RNA
Rfam family: Eukaryotic large subunit ribosomal RNA
Source: RNAcentral
AUGUUGACCUCGGAUCAGGUAGGGAUACCCGCUGAACUUAAGCAUAUCAAUAAGCGGAGGAAAAG